RNAcentral lists this non-coding RNA (237 nucleotides) under Clostridium bornimense. RNAcentral's name for it is "T-box sequence". It matches the Rfam family "T-box leader". Rfam says of the family: Uncharged tRNA acts as the effector for transcription antitermination of genes in the T-box leader family. T-boxes are found upstream of many aminoacyl-tRNA synthetase genes and some amino acid biosynthetic genes usually in Gram-positive bacteria. Lineage: Bacteria; Bacillati; Bacillota; Clostridia; Eubacteriales; Clostridiaceae. The record is from RNAcentral.
GCAAAUGCUAUGAAAAGAAGAGUAAUGGUUAUAAAGCCUAAAGAGAGCUACAGAUGGUGGAAAGUAGUGGUGGAGUAAUUAUGAAGAUGGUCUUGAAGCAGAUUUUCUGAACAAUGAUUAUUUAUAGUAGGAAAAUACGUGGUACACGUUACGUACAGAGUGAAUGAUUCACUUGCAGAGCUAAGCUAGGUAACUAGCUUGGGAAUUAGAGUGGUAGCGCGGUUUAACGCCUCUAAA